ACACCAUCGAGCUAAAGAAGAGAACUCGAAGGUUAGACCGCGCUUUCUCUGAAAGAAAUGCACAAGUGAUUGAGCUCUGAGUGAGCAGCCUCUUU
Molecule: long non-coding RNA, 95 nt
Organism: Hippopotamus amphibius kiboko
Lineage: Eukaryota; Metazoa; Chordata; Mammalia; Artiodactyla; Hippopotamidae
Exons: 3
Source: RefSeq, a predicted model, not a curated record